AAAAUUUUAGUUUAAUAUAUAAAAUAAUUCAUUUACAAUGAAUAGAUUAAUAUUUAUAAAUUAGUAAUAUUUGA
This 74-nucleotide transfer RNA is filed under the name Colobopsis nipponica. RNAcentral's name for it is "tRNA-Val". The record is from RNAcentral. Lineage: Eukaryota; Metazoa; Arthropoda; Insecta; Hymenoptera; Formicidae.